UACGUAGGUGGCAAGCGUUGUCCGGAUUUAUUGGGCGUAAAGGGCGCGCAGGCGGUUCGUUUAGUCCGAGGUGAAAUCUCCCGGCUCAACUGGGAGGGGUCUUUGGAUACUGGCGGACUUGAGGUGAGCAGAGGUGAGCGGAAUUCCUGGUGUAGCGGUGAAAUGCGCAGAUAUCAGGAGGAACACCGGUGGCGAAGGCGGGUCUCUGGGCCGAUACUGACGCUGAGGAGCGAAAGCGUGGGGAGCGAACAGG
This 253-nucleotide ribosomal RNA is filed under the name uncultured bacterium. Its description in RNAcentral is "partial 16S ribosomal RNA". It matches the Rfam family "Bacterial small subunit ribosomal RNA", at positions 524 to 776 of the family's 1533-position model. The record is from RNAcentral.